ACUAACUGGAGGACCGAACCGACUAAUGUUGAAAAAUUAGCGGAUGACCUGUGGCUGGGGGUGAAAGGCCAAUCAAACCGGGAGAUAGCUGGUUCUCCCCGAAAGCUAUUUAGGUAGCGCCUCGUGAAUUCAUCUCCGGGGGUAGAGCACUGUUUCGGCUAGGGGGCCAUCCCGGCUUACCAACCCGAUGCAAACUGCGAAUACCGGAGAAUGUUAUCACGGGAGACACACGGCGGGUGCUAACGUCCGUCGUGAAGAGGGAAACAACCCAGACCGCCAGCUAAGGUCCCAAAGUCAUGGUUAAGUGGGAAACGAUGUGGGAAGGCCCAGACAGCCAGGAUGUUGGCUUAGAAGCAG
Molecule: ribosomal RNA, 357 nt
Filed under: Salmonella enterica subsp. enterica
Lineage: Bacteria; Pseudomonadati; Pseudomonadota; Gammaproteobacteria; Enterobacterales; Enterobacteriaceae
Description: partial 23S ribosomal RNA
Rfam family: Bacterial large subunit ribosomal RNA
Source: RNAcentral